Molecule: ribosomal RNA, 507 nt
Filed under: Triops simplex
Lineage: Eukaryota; Metazoa; Arthropoda; Branchiopoda; Notostraca; Triopsidae
Description: partial 16S ribosomal RNA
Rfam family: Bacterial large subunit ribosomal RNA
Source: RNAcentral
CUCCUCAAGAAUUAAUUUGAGGUAUAGCCUGCUCUAUGAAUUUAUUUAAAUGGCCGCGGUAUUCUGACCGUGCGAAGGUAGCAUAAUCAUUAGUCUUUUAAUUGAAGGCUGGUAUGAAUGGCUGGACGAGAAAAUUUCUGUCUCUGUUAUAAAUUUUGAAUUUGAUUUUUAAGUGAAAAAGCUUAAAUAUUUUUGGGGGACGAUAAGACCCUAUGGAUCUUUAUAAUGAUGAUUAAUAAAAAGUUUAGAAGUUACAGCUUUUUACUCUAAGUUAUUGGGUUGGGGCGACCGGAAGAAAAGAAUAUCUCUUCUUAAAAAUAAAUAUUAUUUAUAGAAUUAAAAAUGACCCUAAAUUUUGGUUUAGCAGAUCAAGUUACCCUAGGGAUAACAGCGUAAUCUUUUUGGAGAGUUCAUAUCGAUGAAAAGGUUUGCGACCUCGAUGUUGGAUUAAGAGAUCCUUGCGGCGCAGCAGUUGCGGAGGAAAGUCUGUUCGACUUUUAAAUUCUU